RNAcentral lists this ribosomal RNA (173 nucleotides) under uncultured bacterium. Its description in RNAcentral is "partial 16S ribosomal RNA". It matches the Rfam family "Bacterial small subunit ribosomal RNA", at positions 336 to 526 of the family's 1533-position model. The record is from RNAcentral.
CUCCUACGGGAGGCAGCAGUGGGGAAUUUUGCGCAAUGGGGGAAACCCUGACGCAGCAACGCCGCGUGGAGGAUGAAGCCCUUGGGGCGUAAACGUCCUUUCGACCAAGACGAUAAUGACGGUACUCGGUGGAGAAGCACCGGCUAACUCUGUGCCAGCAGCCGCGGUAAUUC